This is a microRNA precursor of Oryza rufipogon (brownbeard rice), 204 nucleotides long. It matches the Rfam family "MIR812 microRNA precursor family". The record is from Rfam. NCBI's taxonomy places the organism in Eukaryota, Viridiplantae, Streptophyta, Magnoliopsida, Poales, Poaceae.
AAAAAGUCAAACUUUGGGUUUCCGUGUCCAAUUUUAACUGUCCGUCUUAUAUGAAAUUUUUUUAUGAUUUGCAUUUUCAUUGUUGUUAGAUGAUAAGACAUGAUUAAUAUUUUAUGCGUGAUUUGUCUUUUUAAUUUUUCAUAUUUUUUUUAAAUAAGACGGACGGUCAAACGUUAGACAUGGAAAUCAAGGUUUGUCUUUUUC